UACGUAGGUGGCAAGCGUUAUCCGGAUUUACUGGGUGUAAAGGGCGUGUAGGCGGGAAAGCAAGUCAGAUGUGAAAACCAUGGGCUCAACCUGUGGCCUGCAUUUGAAACUGUUUUUCUUGAGUACUGGAGAGGCAGACGGAAUUCCUAGUGUAGCGGUGAAAUGCGUAGAUAUUAGGAGGAACACCAGUGGCGAAGGCGGUCUGCUGGACAGCAACUGACGCUGAGGCGCGAAAGCGUGGGGAGCCAACAGG
This 253-nucleotide ribosomal RNA is filed under the name uncultured bacterium. RNAcentral describes it as "partial 16S ribosomal RNA". It matches the Rfam family "Bacterial small subunit ribosomal RNA", at positions 524 to 776 of the family's 1533-position model. The record is from RNAcentral.